GAUGAACGCUGGCGGCGUGCCUUAUACAUGCAAGUCGAGUGGGUUUAGACCCACGGCAAACGGGUGAGUAACACGUAGGUACUUUCCUUGUCACAGGAAUAACCCUCCGAAGGGAGGGCUAAUACCUGAUGUGAUCGCAAGAUUAAAGGGUAUCCGCAAGGAUUACCGGACAAGAAGAGGCCUGCGGCCUAUCAGCUAGUUGGCGGGGUAAAUGCCCACCAAGGCUAUGAUGGGUAGCUGGUCUUAUGAGGAUGAUCAGUCACAUGGGCACUGAGACACGGGCCCAACUCCUACGGGAGGCAGCAGUAGGGAAUUUUGCGCAAUGGGCGAAAGCCUGACGCAGCGACGCCGCGUGCGGGAUGAAGGCCUUCGGGUCGUAAACCGCUUUUAUAAGGGACGAACUUUGACGGUACCUUAUGAAUAAGAGGUUGCUAACUCUGUG
Molecule: ribosomal RNA, 442 nt
Filed under: uncultured bacterium
Lineage: Bacteria
Description: partial 16S ribosomal RNA
Rfam family: Bacterial small subunit ribosomal RNA
Source: RNAcentral